RNAcentral lists this ribosomal RNA (497 nucleotides) under uncultured bacterium. Its description in RNAcentral is "partial 16S ribosomal RNA". It matches the Rfam family "Bacterial small subunit ribosomal RNA", at positions 28 to 507 of the family's 1533-position model. The record is from RNAcentral.
GAUGAACGCUGGCGGCGUGCCUAAUACAUGCAAGUCGAGCGAACGGACGAGAAGCUUGCUUCUCUGAUGUUAGCGGCGGACGGGUGAGUAACACGUGGAUAACCUACCUAUAAGACUGGGAUAACUUCGGGAAACCGGAGCUAAUACCGGAUAAUAUUUUGAACCGCAUGGUUCAAAAGUGAAAGACGGUCUUGCUGUCACUUAUAGAUGGAUCCGCGCUGCAUUAGCUAGUUGGUAAGGUAACGGCUUACCAAGGCAACGAUGCAUAGCCGACCUGAGAGGUUGAUCGGCCACACUUGAACGUAGACACGGUCCAGACUCCUACGGGAGGCAGCAGUAGGGAAUCUUCCGCAAUGGGCGAAAGCCUGACGGAGCAACGCCGCGUGAGUGAUGAAGGUCUUCGGAUCGUAAAACUCUGUUAUUAGGGAAGAACAUAUGUGUAAGUAACUGUGCACAUCUUGACGGUACCUAAUCAGAAAGCCACGGCUAACUACGUG